GGAUUGAAAUCCCUAAUCCCCAAAUUCUUUCUUCUAUCUUCUUCUUUUACGACGGUGGCGGCGGGUUCCGACGGUGGCGGCGGGUUCCGACGGUGGCGGCGGGUUCCAACGGUGGCGACGGGUUCUUUUCUUCAAUGGCGGUUCGCGAUGGUUCUCGGCUCUUCUUGUAUUGGAAGCAGAAUGGAAGCUAAGGUGAGGUCUAUUUCAACAUCUCUUCUCAUUUUAUUUCAUGCACCACAGAGUGAGACCAAAACGGAACCAAAUCCCUAAAGCUUCAAAGCUUUCUCUCUAAUAUGUUCUCCUCCUCUAUUCCUCUUUUUCUCUUCUUUCCAUAGGCAUCGGCGAGAAGAAAGAGGGUCAUUCUUCAAGGAUGAUUCGUGAUCGAAUACAAUGCGGGUCUAACCCACGAUGAUGGCAGAUGAAGGCGUGACGGGAAAGCGGUGGUGAUUGAUCCUCGUCUUCCAGCAGCGGUGAACAACAAUCACGGCCAAAGGUGGUUCACGGUGAGAUAUGGUGGUUCAAGGUGACUCUCGGUGGUGACAGAGGCUCAUGAGGUUGGGUUGUAGAGGUGGUACCGGGGAAGGUGUUGUGUUGGGAGAAGAAGAGCAUUCGUGAUUCGGAACCAGCAGAGGCAACAAUUCGGUGAGGAAUUUUAUCCCUCUUCUAUUUAACUUUAUAUUAUGGAGUUUGAAUGAUGAAAGACUGGUAUGAGAGAACAAGGAUCAUACAAAACGAAUUAUGCUACCUUAAGGUUUUUGCAUUGCAUCAUCCAUUUCAUUCUUAAUUAAUUUUUUUACUUAAGUAGAUACAUUAUGCUGAGACCAAUGGGUAUGCUUGAUUAAAGAUAAUGAUGAAUUAAGCAUCCAAGCCUAGUACGUAUAUCAUAUAAAGCAAGGUAUGUUCACAAAAUAAUUUUUAUGGUUGGAAUGCUUACCUGGAUGUAUGCUUUGUGUUGCUACAUGUGUCACUGCAUUCUUGACUUAUAACUCUGUCCCUGGGUUGCUUUUGCCUGAAUGUAUGUAUGGUGGUUACUUUCCGGUUAUGGUCGUAUGAAUUGGUAUGAUAAGUGAACUCUCUUCCUGUGUUACUCCCUUUUUUACUAACUCUCUUCUCUGUUUUUUUUCACUGAGUGCCCUCUGAUAUUUUUUUGACAACCUGUAUGCUGUUAUCUCUUUUUGCUGAGUGUGAUGUAUAUGAUAUAUGUAUGGUAUUGUGGAAUUUUUGGGGAUGAUAGGAUAAAGAGAGGAUGAUAAGUUUUAGUGGGGUUGCUUGAGAAAUUCUGACUAAGAAGGUGCUGUAGGGUUAGAAUUUUGAGAGGAGAUUUGGCCUCUCUCACUGUGUUGUUUAUCCUUACAACACUGCAUAUAUGCUCUGUUUUCUCUAAUUUUCGUGUGGUGAACCCCCCUUUUCUGGUUGUAAUGCCUCUCCUUUUAUAGCUGGGUAGUGGUGCUCUUUGGGUUGCUAAUUGAAAGUCAGGAAUAAUUCUGACCCUUGUGUUAUGAAACUGCUCAUUGAUUGCUUGUUCCUGCUGAUUAUUGCAUACUGAUUACUGUAUUAAAGUUGCCUGAAUGACUCUGAAUACGUAACAGAAAUUUGGUUCACCUGCCCUUUACAUUUAGCCUAUUGGAUUCUGUAACUGAGGGGAUUGGUCUUUGAUUUGUAUGCUUCUGUUUCCUUUCUGCUUUAUUAUACUCCUCAUUUGCUGAUUCACAACUGAGACUAGAUAUUUAUUGGCCUGCUUAAUUGCUUCAGCUUGCCCCUUUUUUACUCUGAUGUAAGGCUGCCCAUGAAUGCUCUCUUUUAUGCUGAUAAUGAUGAUGUGUAACUGAAAUUGAGAUAGCUUAAUAGGUAGAUAUUUCUGAUACAUCUCCUCUGCUGCUACUUUUGAAUUUCUGUCUGUUCAUAAUCCAUGGUUGAAUCACGUUUCUAAUUUUAUUCUGCUCACCUCAUGAUGGCUGCCUUUUAGCUUAUUUGUAACUUUUCUGCAAUUUUAUAAGCCUUGAUAUUCAAUCUCUUUUUGACUUGGAAUUUCACUAUAUCCUCUUAUUUCCAACGUCAAUGAUAUGAUUGCCAUUCCCUUUUUGCGGUGGCUAG
Molecule: long non-coding RNA, 2094 nt
Filed under: Lupinus angustifolius (narrow-leaved blue lupine)
Lineage: Eukaryota; Viridiplantae; Streptophyta; Magnoliopsida; Fabales; Fabaceae
Description: long non-coding RNA (LANG_LNC001896)
Source: RNAcentral